GACGAACGCUGGCGGCGUGCCUAAUACAUGCAAGUAGAACGCUGAAGAGAGGAGCUUGCUCUUCUUGGAUGAGUUGCGAACGGGUGAGUAACGCGUAGGUAACCUGCCUUGUAGCGGGGGAUAACUAUUGGAAACGAUAGCUAAUACCGCAUAACAAUGAGUGACACAUGUCAUUUAUUUGAAAGGGGCAAUUGCUCCACUACAAGAUGGACCUGCGUUGUAUUAGCUAGUAGGUGAGGUAACGGCUCACCUAGGCGACGAUACAUAGCCGACCUGAGAGGGUGAUCGGCCACACUGGGACUGAGACACGGCCCAGACUCCUACGGGAGGCAGCAGUAGGGAAUCUUCGGCAAUGGGGGCAACCCUGACCGAGCAACGCCGCGUGAGUGAAGAAGGUUUUCGGAUCGUAAAGCUCUGUUGUAAGUCAAGAACGAGUGUGAGAGUGGAAAGUUCACACUGUGACGGUAGCUUACCAGAAAGGGACGGCUAACUACGUGCCAGCAGCCGCGGUAAUACGUAGGUCCCGAGCGUUGUCCGGAUUUAUUGGGCGUAAAGCGAGCGCAGGCGGUUUGAUAAGUCUGAAGUUAAAGGCUGUGGCUCAACCAUAGUUCGCUUUGGAAACUGUCAAACUUGAGUGCAGAAGGGGAGAGUGGAAUUCCAUGUGUAGCGGUGAAAUGCGUAGAUAUAUGGAGGAACACCGGUGGCGAAAGCGGCUCUCUGGUCUGUAACUGACGCUGAGGCUCGAAAGCGUGGGAGCGAACAGG
This 764-nucleotide ribosomal RNA is filed under the name uncultured Streptococcus sp. RNAcentral's name for it is "bacterial SSU rRNA". It matches the Rfam family "Bacterial small subunit ribosomal RNA", at positions 28 to 776 of the family's 1533-position model. The record is from RNAcentral. Lineage: Bacteria; Bacillati; Bacillota; Bacilli; Lactobacillales; Streptococcaceae.